Molecule: ribosomal RNA, 119 nt
Filed under: Cebus imitator (Panamanian white-faced capuchin)
Lineage: Eukaryota; Metazoa; Chordata; Mammalia; Primates; Cebidae
Source: RNAcentral
GUCUGCGGCCAUAUCACCCUGAAUGUGCCCAAUCUCGUCUGAUCUUGGAAUCUAAGCAGGGUCAGGCCUGGUUAGUACUUGGAUGGAAGACCAUGUGGGAAUAUCGGGUGCCGUAGGCU